RNAcentral lists this ribosomal RNA (492 nucleotides) under uncultured bacterium. RNAcentral's name for it is "partial 16S ribosomal RNA". It matches the Rfam family "Bacterial small subunit ribosomal RNA", at positions 29 to 507 of the family's 1533-position model. The record is from RNAcentral.
AGUGAACGCUGGCGGUAGGCCUAACACAUGCAAGUCGAACGGCAGCACAGUAAGAGCUUGCUCUUACGGGUGGCGAGUGGCGGACGGGUGAGGAAUACAUCGGAAUCUACUUUUUCGUGGGGGAUAACGUAGGGAAACUUACGCUAAUACCGCAUACGACCUACGGGUGAAAGCAGGGGAUCUUCGGACCUUGCGCGAUUGAAUGAGCCGAUGUCGGAUUAGCUAGUUGGCGGGGUAAAGGCCCACCAAGGCGACGAUCCGUAGCUGGUCUGAGAGGAUGAUCAUCCACACUGGAACUGAGACACGGUCCAGACUCCUACGGGAGGCAGCAGUGGGGAAUAUUGGACAAUGGGCGCAAGCCUGAUCCAGCCAUACCGCGUGGGUGAAGAAGGCCUUCGGGUUGUAAAGCCCUUUUGUUGGGAAAGAAAAGCAGCAGGUUAAUACCCCGCUGUUCUGACGGUACCCAAAGAAUAAGCACCGGCUAACUUCGUG